This 400-nucleotide ribosomal RNA is filed under the name phytoplankton environmental sample. RNAcentral describes it as "partial small subunit ribosomal RNA". It matches the Rfam family "Eukaryotic small subunit ribosomal RNA", at positions 587 to 987 of the family's 1831-position model. The record is from RNAcentral.
AGCUCCAACAGCGUAUAUUAAAGUUGUUGCGGUUAAAAAGCUCGUAGUUGGAUCUCGGCAAGCAGGGGCCGGUUCGCUCCAUAGCGUUACUGGCCCAUUUGCUUGUGUGAUUGGCGGAGGUUUCGGGGUGCUCUUUACUGAGUGUCCCGGGGCGCCGUCAGGUUUACUUUGAAAAAAUUAGAGUGCUCAAAGCAAGCUUUUCACGCUUGAAUAUUCGUGCAUGGAAUAAUAGAAUAGGAACUCGUUUCUAUUUUGUUGGUUUUCGGAAAUCGAGUUAAUGAUUAAUAGGGACAAUUGGGGGCAUUAGUAUUCAGGCGACAGAGGUGAAAUUCUUGGACCGUCUGAAGACUAACUACUGCGAAAGCAUUUGCCAAGAGUGUUUUCAUUAAUCAAGAACGAA